RNAcentral lists this long non-coding RNA (562 nucleotides) under Sus scrofa (pig). RNAcentral describes it as "lncRNA (ENSSSCG00035055567.1)". Lineage: Eukaryota; Metazoa; Chordata; Mammalia; Artiodactyla; Suidae. The record is from RNAcentral.
UAGAAAAUGAAGAGCUAUCGAAGAUUUUUGGACUGAUGAUAGUGUCACAGGAAGCCUACUCUAAGAAGAUUAAUCUGACAGUGGCAUCCAGCAUGAACUGAUAUGGAGAAAGAUGAGAAAAUGUUGGAAGAGAGAAUGGGGAGAGCCUCUACUCCGGUUGAGUAAUGAAUUUGCCUCCUUUCCGAUAUAAGGUUCUAUGUGGUCUCCAUUUCACUCAAUGGUCACACCGUCUAUCAAGGGUGUGAUAAGUAGGCGUCCUAGGAUUCAAUAUUUCACUUUCGUUCAUCUACUUCAUCCAAAAUCCAUCAAGAGGUCCUGAAACAUGGAGGAAAGGAAUAAAAGAGAGGAAAAGGAAAUGAAUUUCAAUAUGAAGAAUGAUUUUGAGACUGAGUCAGCAUCAUCUAAUUUUGCUCUUCAAAGUUCUUCGGAGACAUUGUUUUCUAUUCAGCUGUUAGAUUUCAAAACAAAUUUACUUGAAGCAUUAGAAGAAUUACGUAUGAGGAGGGUAAGUUCCUUUUUAAAAUGCUUUUUUCAAUCAGAGAACUUGAUUUUGUCCAGUUUU